This 558-nucleotide long non-coding RNA is filed under the name Coffea arabica (coffee). Its description in RNAcentral is "long non-coding RNA (CARA_LNC006856)". The record is from RNAcentral. Lineage: Eukaryota; Viridiplantae; Streptophyta; Magnoliopsida; Gentianales; Rubiaceae.
GAAAAGAUACAAAACUUUUGUGAAUUUAGAUAUUGUACUUUUACUUCUGCACGAGUUCAAUUUUUUGCAUAUCUUUUAACUAGAAAGUAAAGAAAAUUUAACCUGUAUACUGCAGUCAUGUGGCAUAAAUUGGCACCCUUAGUAUCAUUUUUGUUUAGUUUUUUAGCAUUAGGAUGCUGGUCUCAUCAUUCUAUGUGGCAGGUUGGGGACAGUGGAUCUGCAUUUUAGGGGUUUGGUUAUAGAGAUAUGAGGUUCUACGUACUGAUAAUGUUGAGUUUUGAAAAAUGCAGAUAAAAGUACUUUUAGGCAGUAUUGGUAAAUGCAUCAAGUCAGAAAUGCAGGACUAUUGAGAACAUCUUUUAAUUGACCAUGGCACCACCAAGAUCAAGUUGAUAGAGUUGACAACUUAUUGCCUUUGCUUAAGUUUCACUUUUGACUCUAAAUUCCAGUAAAUUAAGGUCAUGAAUUUUGUAUCUAAGAGGUCUAAUGGGUUAGUGGCAUUCUUCACUAUCGGUGCUUUGAGCAUUUGCUUGCAAUUAGUGAUAAAGUGCUCCGGAU